GACGAACGCUGGCGGCGUGCUUAACACAUGCAAGUCGAACGGAAAGGCCUGCUUUCCCUUGUGGAUUGCGGGUACUCGAGUGGCGAACGGGUGAGUAACACGUGAGUGAUCUGCCCCCAACUUGGGUAUAAGCCUGGGAAACUGGGUCUAAUUCCCGAUAGGACUGCAGGGUGGUGCCUGUGGUGGAAAACGAUUUUCUAGUGGUUGGGGAUGAGCUCGCGGCCUAUCAGCUUGUUGGUGGGGUAAUGGCCUACCAAGGCGGCGACGGGUAGCCGGCCUGGGAGGGUGGACGGCCACAUUGGGACUGAGAUACGGCCCAGACUCCUACGGGAGGCAGCAGUGGGGAAUAUUGCACAAUGGGCGGAAGCCUGAUGCAGCGACGCCGCGUGGGGGAUGACGGCUUUCGGGUUGUAAACUCCUUUCGACCGCGAGGAAGCCACCUGGUUGGAAGGGUGGUGACGGUAGUGGUAGAAGAAGCACCGGCUAACUACGUG
RNAcentral lists this ribosomal RNA (494 nucleotides) under uncultured bacterium. RNAcentral describes it as "partial 16S ribosomal RNA". It matches the Rfam family "Bacterial small subunit ribosomal RNA", at positions 28 to 507 of the family's 1533-position model. The record is from RNAcentral.